UACGGAGGGUGCAAGCGUUAUCCGGAUUCACUGGGUUUAAAGGGUGCGUAGGCGGGUUGGUAAGUCCGUGGUGAAAUCCCCAAGCUUAACUUGGGAACUGCCGUGGAUACUAUCAAUCUUGAAUAUCGUGGAGGUAAGCGGAAUAUGUCAUGUAGCGGUGAAAUGCUUAGAUAUGACAUAGAACACCAAUUGCGUAGGCAGCUUACUACACGAAGAUUGACGCUGAGGCACGAAAGCGUGGGGAGCAAACAGG
RNAcentral lists this ribosomal RNA (253 nucleotides) under uncultured bacterium. RNAcentral describes it as "partial 16S ribosomal RNA". It matches the Rfam family "Bacterial small subunit ribosomal RNA", at positions 524 to 776 of the family's 1533-position model. The record is from RNAcentral.